CACGUAGGGGCCAAGCGUUGUCCGGAUUUAUUGGGCGUAAAGAGCUCGUAGGCGGUUCGACAAGUCGGGGGUGAAAACUCCGGGCUCAACCCGGAGACGCCACCCGAUACUGUCGUGACUGGAGUCCGGUAGGGGAGUGGGGAAUUCCUGGUGUAGCGGUGAAAUGCGCAGAUAUCAGGAGGAACACCGGUGGCGAAGGCGGUUCUCUGGGCAUGUCCUGACGCUGAGGAGCGAAAGUGUGGGGAGCGAACAGG
This 254-nucleotide ribosomal RNA is filed under the name uncultured bacterium. RNAcentral's name for it is "partial 16S ribosomal RNA". It matches the Rfam family "Bacterial small subunit ribosomal RNA", at positions 524 to 776 of the family's 1533-position model. The record is from RNAcentral.